Long non-coding RNA from Numida meleagris (helmeted guineafowl), 5543 nucleotides. RefSeq lists it as uncharacterized. Lineage: Eukaryota; Metazoa; Chordata; Aves; Galliformes; Numididae. The transcript is spliced from 7 exons. The record is from RefSeq and is a predicted model, not a curated record.
CUUGGGCAGCUCUCCUGAUCUCUCCAGCACCUGAUAUUCCCAGUCAGUUGUAAAGCAGAGGUGAUGGUCUUCAUUUUGUGUCCCUCUAUGACUCACCUCAAAAGUGCAUAAAGAAAACUCUUGGAAGAAAGGCACAGCAUCUCUAUUGUUUUUAUGACAGACUCUGACAUCUCUUAAUCUGAGGCUACAAGAUUUCUUUUUUGGUUUUGUUCCUUUCCUUUAAUACCUGAUUAUUCCAGGAUGGCAAGAGGCAGUCGUACUGGAGUGGUUCUUCAUUUUGUGCACAGCCAGGUGAAACACAAACAGUGACAAAUUGAUGAUGGACUAGAACACAUUAGCGUGAAAAUCCUCAGAUGUCUCAUAAGGUAUCUCCUCUGAGUCUGCUGAAGUGAUAACACUACUGCAAGUGGCUUCUCUGGAAAAGAAAUUGUCCCCUGUUGGCUAUCGGUUUGAUUGGAUUGCGGUGAAGCUUCACAUCAGUCCUGAAAUAUAAUCUGUAGAGCCAGCAGAAGUUUGCUAGGAGACCAGGAGAGGUGUGUGGUGCGGGUUGGCUUUGCUCGGCAGCACGGGGUGAGCGGGGGGCUGGCACUGGGCAGGGCAGUGUGUGGAAGGACCGUGCUCUGGGUUGAGAAACCCGAAAGGAAAACAUCUCUAGUUCUCUCCUUGCCACCUAGUGUCCAUUCGUGUUAAAGAUUCUGGUUCAUCCUUGAGAUUAAAGCAAUAUUUGUGCCUCUUCUGCAACUAUCUGGUUUUUUUUGGAUCUCUCUCCAGAGGAAUCUUCGAGCUCUUAUGAAAACAGAGGAGAACACAUCUGCCCUUCAGCCCCGACUCACCCAAACCCUGUGUGAACCAUCUGGAUGUCAUGUCCCCAGCCACUUGGAGACCACAACAUACUCACCCCAAUCUCUCACACCCCCCAGUACGAGCCUCUCCUAAUCAGUAGGCGCUGUCUCACCAGAGCCCCUUUCUGCAGAGAAGUGAUAAGCCGUGCUUGGCUCCUGCUCCCCCACCCCUGCUGGUUCCUGUUUGCUGCCAUCUCAUCAGCAGGCACCAAAAAGCCCCACUUCCAUCCCUGCUGGGCUGCCCUCCCUGCCCUGCUCCGAAAUGCUGCCCGAAUGUCAUGGAAACAGUGCAUAGAGCUGCCAUGCACAGGAAGGGAGAGGGGAGCAAGGUAAGGGAGCAUGGUAUGUCCCCCAGGAACCCAAGGGAUGGCUCCAGAAUGAAACCCAGCUGUGACCAAAUGUGGAUUGUGACAUGGCUUUGAGGAGCAGUCUUCCCGAAACUUUCUGAAGAUGGAAGUGGCAUGCAUUAGUAAGGCGAGGAGGUCAGCAUGACCCUGAGAAAAGGAAGGAAUGAGUGAAUACAGCUCAUGUGGAUGAUUUCCUUUGCAUAACAUGGGGACAGGCCAAAAUACUCGGGUGCUCCCGAGGAGCUGCAUUUUGCAGACCUUCCACUGGGAGCUCCUCAAAGCCCUCCUGGGCUGUGCUGGAUGCUGGGCUGCGUCUCUCUCCCAUCACACCGUGGCUGGCAAAGGGUGAUCCGCACUCUCUGAAAUAUAACUCUGAAAGUAAUGGCAUUAAAAAUAAGCAUUGAGAUCAGCUCUCCCUGCCCCUCCAUCCCUCUGCCACCAAAUGCACAAAACCCAGCAUCGGGGCAGACUCGGAUCUAUGUUCUCCCUCUGCCCCAGGCUAUUUGGGGACCUGGUGGCACAUGGGAAUGAGGAGAGCAAUGCUGCUGAACUCAGCACGGAGUCUCGGGUGUUUGGAAACAAACCUCUUCUGGAUCAGGGAGAAAUGAGUCUGUUUCUGUGAGAUCGAUCUGCAGGCACCAACGGAGUGUUCAGCUGGACUUCUACGAGAGAGGCAACAAACAGUGAAUUAGGGGUCAGCCUGCAGAGACAUCAGACAGAUGGGGAAUCACAGUGACAACAUCGCUGCGUUCUGCCUUUCAGUGGCUGUCAGCUGGGCUCAGCCAGCUCCUUGCUGCCCUGACAAUCCAUGGUUCUGCCGUGGUGGCUGUGUGCUCUGCUCUGUGUGUCAACCUUCUGCUUCAUCCUGCUCUGAAAGUGAGACUUCUGCAUCUACAAUCAACGACCUCAAGCCUCACCCUUGCUGGCUGAGGCAGCCUGGUGAUGCAAAAGACCAGGACCCAUAGAAGCAACUUGAUAAUAUUGCUCAACAAACCAGUGCCAAACCAGAAAUGCAAUCUCUGCCUGGACAAAAUCUGAAAUUUUCAUUGCAGCUACAAGAUAAGUUGUGUAAGCAGCUGUGCUGGAGACAACUGAAUGCUGAGGAAAAGAGGUUUUCCAUUGCUGCCUGGCUGGAUGGUCCUACCUUGCUUCCAGGGGCUGAGCUGCAUCCUGCACCCUCCCAAGUGUCGUGACUUCAUGACUGUCCCCCCUGUCACUGUUCAUCUUUAGGAAGGAGGUGAGACUGCCCAGGUCCCCCACAAACAUGGAAAAUCAAAGCUCAGCUGUGCACAAGCCAGGAUGCCAGGCCAGCUCAGCCUGCUCAGCAGCAAUGUCUUUUUCACCAUUUAAGAGCAUCCUGCAGGAAUGAGAGCUUAUCUCCAAGACCUGCCACUUCCACAAGCUGCCUUCAGCUCAGUGCUACUGUGAAGUCACAGGGGGAGUGUGACCUUUAUGGGAAUGGUAAGUCGUUGUGGCUUUCUUAGUGUUUAACGUUCUUCAUUGAUUAGUUUCCAUCUCCCCAAAGGGAGGAGGGUUUGACUGUGAGCCAGCGCUCAGCAGUACCCAGUGCAGUGGGUGGUGGUGAGCUCUCAAGUGAGAAAACCAGCAAAGCAAAAUGCGGGGAGUGACUUUCAGAAAUGGAGACAAGAGAAGGAGCGACUCUCAGGAAGGAUAUUUUUCCUGAUCUGGACUAAAACCCCACCGCCACUUCCAUAAACCGUUCACUGUCAGAGGUGCACCAAGUGUGACCGCUUAUUUCAGCUCCAAACCACGGUUGCUGCACAUCCCCGGUGCCUCCCAUCCUGUGCCAAGUGCUCAGCAGUGGAGGACCCGUGGCCCUGGGGCUGUGACAGCUCUGCCCUCCCAUCUGCACACAGAUGCGGCACAAAACAAAGAAGAAAAGCGAGAGGGGAGCGCCGAGCCAAAGAGCGGUCACCGCUUCUGUUGUGCUGAGUGUUUUGUGCCAGCUUAGACAAGGAAGAUUUAUGGCGAGGACGGUGCCCGGCUGCAUCUGAGCACGAUAAUCCUCUCGCGGUUGGUGAAAACCGAGGCGCUGUUCCUCCAGCUUGUUAGCAGUCAGGAAGAUGGAAGGAAGUGGGAGGAAUCUGGAGGGUGAGGGUUUCGAGUGCCUCACUCGUCACUGCUGAACCCGGCUCUAUUUAUGGUGCAAUUAUCACCGCAGACAGACUCCUUUAUCAUCCAGCCAAUAUUCUGGGUACGAAUCCUAUUGCAGCACAGCCACUCCAUACAUCAUCCGGGUGCAGCAGCAGCCAGGUGAAGAGGUUCGGAGCAGCGAGCGGCUCUGCCAGAGGCAGGAAGAGGGCAAGCAGGAGCCUGGUUCCCACUUGACCCCAUAUCUUGCCCAAAAUCCUUUUGUUUUAGGGAGGAAAUGGUGCUUUUCUCCUCCUUUGUGCUGGCAUCCCUUCUGCAGUCGGCCUGCCUUUCUCCAGGGAAAGCUCCUAUGCAGCCCACGCUCCUGUGGUUGGUGUGGGGCAAGGCCAGAGCAGGAUGGGCUAUGAACAGUGCCAGUGGAGCCAGGACUCUAUAUGAUUGCAGUGUGGAUUUGCUGGUGUCUCAUAAGGGUUAAGCAGCCACAUACCCAACUGACUGUAGGGAAUCUACUAUAGUGCGGGGGUGGGGGGGUAAGAUGAUUUCGAGAGGUCCCUUCCAACCCCUAUAAUGCUGUGAUUUUGUGUUCCCCUCCCCAUGGUGGAUGCAUUUCUCUUCUGUUUCACUGCCCAUAUCAGAACCUAGAUGUAGCAGGGAGCCCCUUCCUCUGUGCCAAACACUGGAGUUAUGGGGUGGGAACCAGCAAGCACGCAGCUGGGUCACAGAGCUGCCUGCAGAACCACACCAAGCCCCCUAGGAACAUAACCCUGAUCCUACUGCAGCACCGAUCACCCCAACCCAUCCUGCUCAUCUGCCCCCCCAGCUCCCCUCUGUCAUUGCACAGAGCCAGGCUGCAUUUACUCAGGGAUAAACCUUAGCACCUGCAAGGAGGGACAUUCUUGAGGCACGGAGCUGUAAUAACCAUUGCUCACAAUGCUCUCUUAGCUUCUAAUUGCCAACGACUCCUCCUUUUUCACGUUGCCGGUGCUUGAAAAGGGAAAAACGCAUCUAGGAAAUGUAAUUUAAUACCCCAAACGUGCUCACUUAAUUGCAAUCCCCAUAAGCCAGCCACACAAAACUAAACAAAUUCGAUUAAUUUAUUUCAAUUUGCACAAGUCUCCCUCUCAGACUGUAAUUAAUGGAGGGAAACAAUUAAGGUAAACACAGUGCAGCUGAGAGAGCUGUUCUCGUUAAAAGUCACAUUUUAUUUUAAUAAUGCUGUAUUUAUAUAAGUUCCACACUUUUAACAAGUUUCCCAUUACCUUGGUGUUUAAUCAGCGCCGUAAAUAUUUCGCUUCAAGUGAAAUCGUUUUUGUGAAGCCAUAAAUCAACAGGGAGGGAGGGAGCAGGGAGAGAGCACAUUGCUGGGGGGAUGGGGAGGCAGGGGCUUGGGUCUCAGCAUCGUGACAUUGUGUGUGUGUAUAUAUGGCCCCAUACAGGCUCCCUCUAUCUACACGCUGGCACUGUCCCACCAAGCACUGAAAAGCAGGAAGAGUGUGCUCCAGCUGUCAUUGCACCAAAGUGUCUUUUUGCUAGAGCAUGAAAAAAAAAAGAUGGGUGCUGUUUUUUUUCCCCCCUUCCUUCCUUAAUUAACCUUUAGGUACAACAUGCUCUCCUUUCAGUGCAAGCACGGCCUUACUAGAGAAGAUCUUAGCUCCAACAAUCUCAUGGUGUUGAUUUUCUGCUAUCUCAGUCUAAUUAGUUUGGAAAUUCACCAUUUGUUAAAGAGAGACGAGGUGCAGCCAGACACCUGCUGUAUUAAUUACUUGCCUCUUCAGCUAAUUGCUUGCCCACACUGUUAGGCAAGUUGUCACUGAUGUUCGGAGUUGGAGACUGAACGAGAAGGAGAGAUUUUGGAGGAGGAGACGGGAGAUGGGGCAGGGCAGAGGGGCCGGUGCUAACGCUGCUUCCCAGCUCUCCGGGGCUGUAAAACCUCUGGUACAGGACACGUCCCAGCGGCUGCGAGGUGCGGGAUGGGUGGCGAGGGAAGAGGGACGGGUUGGGAGAGCUGGGGACCUCGGGCCCCGCCGCGCUCAGCCUCAGCGCGCCCCCUGGUGGAAGAGUGCGGCACUGCACGGCAGGGAACGGCUCAGAUCAGCCGUCCUGGCAGCACAGCAGAGCUGGGCAUCCCCGGGGCAUGGCUUUUUUUCAACAGCGUGGCUGGGGGUGAAAUUUGAGGUGUAAUUCCUCUCCAGUACCAUUACUGUACACGGUACCAUUUCAGGUGCUGAUGCUGUUAUUCACU